This 1138-nucleotide long non-coding RNA is filed under the name Elaeis guineensis (African oil palm). RNAcentral describes it as "long non-coding RNA (EGUI_LNC001518)". Lineage: Eukaryota; Viridiplantae; Streptophyta; Magnoliopsida; Arecales; Arecaceae. The record is from RNAcentral.
GCUUCGAUAGAGAGUGCCUUCAACUGCACCCUUAAGAAGAUCCUCUCCUAACAUCUGUCGUUGAAAGAGGUCUUGGCCUCCACUUCACUCAUCAAGAUCAUAUGCCAUGUCCAGUCCUCCUCGAAUAACUAUAGAGACAUCCACCUCACCGCCGAUCACCUCAUUUUCGACCUGUCAUACUUCGGAUCCGAUAUCAUGAAUCGAGAGUCAUGGUAACCGCCGCAUACUUAUAAAAAAUUCUCUCUAUAAGCAAACAAGGUAUCUCAUCAUGAUAUCAAUACAUCACAGCAGAAUAAAAUUUAAAUAGUUAUUAUUCAACUUUAAUUCAAAUAACUAAAUCAAAUAUCUUACAUCCAAUAAAGUUUCACUAAAAAUAAUACAAAAAUAAAUCUAAGUUCAAUGAAGUUGACAAUGCUAAAUUUCGCCUCUCAAAGUUUUGUCCUAAUAUUAUUAUCCAUGCUCGCAAUUAAUUAUCUGAAUCUGAAAAAAAAUAAAAAGAGAGGUAAUGAGCUAGACAACUCAAUAAGUAAUAAAUAUCUCAACUAGAUAUUUCAAAUAUUAUAUAAUAUUCAAGAACAAUACUGUGGAUAAACAUAAAAAUAUAUUUUAUGUUUAUUCAAUGCAAAUCCAAUCUUUUCAGAUAUUUAUAUACAAUAUAAUCAUAAAUCUGAUUCAAAUCAAAACACUCAUAACUCAACAGCCAUAACUAUGAUCAACAUUUAACCCUCUAUUGGCGGGAUCCACUAAAUACCAGCACACAACCUCCACUGGUAGGAUCCACUAAAUACCAGCAUACAACUCCUACUGGUAGGAUCCACUGAGUACCAACGUAUAAUCUCCAUUGACAGGGUCCACUGAUUGCCAACAUAUAAUCCCCAUUGGUGGGGUCCACUGAAACAUAGUUAGGCUGAGAGCAUAAAUCCGAUCUGUAUCAACAUACUUUUGUAUCAUAACAUAUCAUAAUUUCUACUGAACAUAUGCAUAAUCAAUAAAUCAUAGUAUUUUAGAAUCACUUUUCAUUCAAAAUAUAAUUUCAUAAAUCAUACAUAAUUUUAAAAAAUAAUUAUUUAUUUUCAAAAUAAAUAUAAAAUAUCUCAAAAAAAUGAUUCACUACUUAUCUUUCACAGAUCACUAAGCU